ACCAAGAAUUUUUUUUAUCUUUCUCGUCGAUCAUUAACAAUAUAGCAACAGGCACAUCUAGCAAAAGUCAAGUUAAAUUUUGCCGGUUUCAAAAGUAUAUCCAGCAAAGGGAGACUGAAGAAUCACCAAACGUAAGCUCGAAAGAAGACUUAGAAUUAGGAUGAACUACCUUAAAAUUAACUGAACUUCCCCAUAUUUUCAAGCUCAAAAAUAAAAAGAUCCAAUAUGAGAUGGAAGAGCUUUGCCAUAUCUAUCUAGGUUACCAGCAGAAACGGAUUUCUUAUCUUCAGGAUGUAAUUUCUG
Molecule: long non-coding RNA, 303 nt
Filed under: Solanum tuberosum (potato)
Lineage: Eukaryota; Viridiplantae; Streptophyta; Magnoliopsida; Solanales; Solanaceae
Description: long non-coding RNA (STUB_LNC010653)
Source: RNAcentral